RNAcentral lists this long non-coding RNA (1017 nucleotides) under Medicago truncatula (barrel medic). Its description in RNAcentral is "long non-coding RNA (MTRU_LNC003856)". The record is from RNAcentral. Lineage: Eukaryota; Viridiplantae; Streptophyta; Magnoliopsida; Fabales; Fabaceae.
AACAAAUGAACAUGGAGAAUUCAAAGUGAAACUACCUUUCUUAGUGAAGAAACAUGUGAAGAGAAUCAAAGGGUGUAAUUUUAAGUUGUUAAGUAGUAAUGAACCAAAUUGUGCUAUAGCCUCAACUUCUACUUCAUCUUCACUAAGCCUAAAGAAAAAGUUGCAACAAGAACACAUUUUUUCAGCUGGGAUUUUCUCAUUCAAGCCUAUAAAAAAACCAAAAUUUUGUGACAAAAAACAUAGUAUUCAUAACCUUAAGAAACAACAUAGUUAUGUGAAAAAUUUGGAACAAUCAAAAUUUUCAAGCAAAAAUAAAGUACCUAAUGAAGUUGAAGAUUUCUUCUUUUUUCCUCCAAACCCUUUUUUUCCACCACCUAUUAUCCCUAAUCCACUUCAACCUCCACCUUUGAUUCCUAACCCUUUGCAACCACCACCUUUGAUUCCAAAUCCAUUUCAACCACCAAGUCCACCCUUGAUUCCUAAUCCAUUUCAACCACCAAGUCCACCACUUAUUCCAAAUCCAUUUCAACCUCCUCCAUCAAAUCCACCACUUAUUCCUAAUCCAUUUCAACCUCCCCCAGCAAGUCCUCCACCACUCAUUCCAAAUCCAUUUCAGCCUCCACCAUCAAGUCCACCACCAUCAUUUCCUUUUCCACCAAUAGUAAUACCAGGUUUAACUCCAUCACCACCGCCGCCGCCACCACCAAAAUCAAUUUUUCCUGCUCCCUUACUUCCUUUUCCUCCACUGUUCCCACCACCUCUUAGCCCUGGCUCACCCCCUACUUCUUCAAGUAAUUUCUCUCCUUGAUUAUUAACAUAUUAUUCCUUCUGGUUCUAUUAAUAAAAAACAUUUGGGUCAACAAAAGUUGAUGUAUUUGGACCAAAUUAUUAACAAGUUACAUCAUAUUUUGCUGACCCAAAUGUUUCUUAUAAAUAAGACCAGAUGGAGUAUAUAAUAUUAUAGUUGUAAAUUGCAAUCUGCAGCUGCAACUUAACAGUUUUAGAGGUCUCCACAAC